Molecule: antisense RNA, 75 nt
Filed under: Streptomyces sp. MJM1172
Lineage: Bacteria; Bacillati; Actinomycetota; Actinomycetes; Kitasatosporales; Streptomycetaceae
Description: ASpks sRNA
Rfam family: ASpks TB sRNA
Source: RNAcentral
UUUGACGGAGCCGAGCAGCAGCGGCCGGUCCGCGGGCCGGUCCUGGCCGUAGGUGGCGAGCAGGGCCUGUGCCUC